UCCCUGAUGGUCCAGCUGGUAAGACUCUGCACUCCCAAUGCAGGGGCCCAGGUUUGCUGCCUGGUCAAGGGA
This 72-nucleotide transfer RNA is filed under the name Bos taurus (domestic cattle). It matches the Rfam family "tRNA". Rfam says of the family: Transfer RNA (tRNA) molecules are approximately 80 nucleotides in length. Their secondary structure includes four short double-helical elements and three loops (D, anti-codon, and T loops). Further hydrogen bonds mediate the characteristic L-shaped molecular structure. tRNAs have two regions of fundamental functional importance: the anti-codon, which is responsible for specific mRNA codon recognition, and the 3' end, to which the tRNAs corresponding amino acid is attached (by aminoacyl-tRNA synthetases). tRNAs cope with the degeneracy of the genetic code in two manners: having more than one tRNA (with a specific anti-codon) for a particular amino acid; and 'wobble' base-pairing, i.e. permitting non-standard base-pairing at the 3rd anti-codon position. RNAcentral also lists the same sequence under 1 other name. Lineage: Eukaryota; Metazoa; Chordata; Mammalia; Artiodactyla; Bovidae. The record is from Rfam by way of RNAcentral.